GGGCGAUUCCGCGUCAUCGGUGCCGGUUCGCCGGCCUAAGAGGGAACGGAGUUCGACACUUCGGCUGCCCCCGCAACUGUGACCGGUUAGGUGUGCCCCAUCAUGCCACUGCGCAAGCGGGAAGGCGGGGAACACCGGUGAUCCGGGAGCCAGGAGACCUGCCCAUGAUGUCGUUCGGCC
This 180-nucleotide non-coding RNA is filed under the name Erythrobacter sp. The record is from RNAcentral. Lineage: Bacteria; Pseudomonadati; Pseudomonadota; Alphaproteobacteria; Sphingomonadales; Erythrobacteraceae. RNAcentral also lists the same sequence under 1 other name.